Molecule: small RNA, 294 nt
Filed under: Arabidopsis thaliana (thale cress)
Lineage: Eukaryota; Viridiplantae; Streptophyta; Magnoliopsida; Brassicales; Brassicaceae
Description: ATSL109700
Source: RNAcentral
AUAUUGUUAACAAAAUACUUUUAUGCUAAUUUUAAGGGAUUGAUGUGAAGUUUGUUUGGAUUAAAUUUGAUUGAUAAUGUGAUUGACAAUUUAAAUUAAGAAUUUAAAGUAAAAUUAAUUAUUUUGAAAAAAAGAUUUAAUGCUAAUGGCAUUGGGUUGUAAAUAAGUCAAACUCAAAGAUUUAUUUGUUAAAAUGGCUGCAAAAAUGUAUAUAUAGAUUAUUCGUGAAAAUAAAAAUUUAAAGAUAUUCCUCUGCUUUUUAAAGAAUUAAUAACUAGUAUUAAAGUAAAAUAU